This 1235-nucleotide ribosomal RNA is filed under the name Clostridioides difficile. RNAcentral describes it as "partial 23S ribosomal RNA". It matches the Rfam family "Bacterial large subunit ribosomal RNA", at positions 1 to 1248 of the family's 2925-position model. Lineage: Bacteria; Bacillati; Bacillota; Clostridia; Peptostreptococcales; Peptostreptococcaceae. The record is from RNAcentral.
GGUCAAGUUAUUAAGGGUGCAGGGCGGAUGCCUUGGCACUAGGAGCCGAUGAAGGACGUGAUAAGCUGCGAUAAGCUUCGGGGAGUUGCACGUAAACUUUGAUCCGAAGAUUUCCGAAUGAGGAAACUCACUUAGAGUAAUGUCUAAGUAUCAUUAAGUGAAUACAUAGCUUAAUGAGGGGAACUCAGGGAACUGAAACAUCUAAGUACCUGAAGGAAGAGAAAGAAAUUCGAUUCCGUAAGUAGCGGCGAGCGAACGCGGAUUAGCCCAAACCAAUAAAGUUUUCUUUAUUGGGGUUGCGGACAUAUCAUAACGAAGAGGUAUCGUAAUUGAAGAGGUUUGGAAAGACCCACCACAGAAGGUAAUAGUCCUGUAUGUUAAACGAGAAGACUUCAGAUAUGAUCCAGAGUACCACGGGACACGUGAAACCCUGUGGGAAGCAGGAGGGACCACCCUCCAAGGCUAAAUACUACCUAGUGACCGAUAGCGUAUAGUACCGUGAGGGAAAGGUGAAAAGAACCCCGGGAGGGGAGUGAAAUAGAACCUGAAACCCUGCACUUACAAGCUGUGGAAGCACAUUUCUUGUGUGACCGCGUACUUUUUGUAGAACGGGCCAACGAGUUACGUUAAGUAGCAAGGUUAAGCACUUAAGGUGCGGAGCCGUAGCGAAAGCGAGUUUUAACUGAGCGUUCAGUUACUUGACGUAGACCCGAAACCGGGCGACCUACCCAUGAGCAGGAUGAAGCGAAAGUAAAAUUUCGUGGAGGUCCGAACCCACGAGCGUUGAAAAGCUCGGGGAUGACUUGUGGGUAGCGGUGAAAUUCCAAUCGAGCCCGGAGAUAGCUGGUUCUCCCCGAAAUAGCUUUAGGGCUAGCCUCAAGGUGAGAGAUACGGAGGUAGAGCACUGAAUGUCCUAGGGGGUAUUGCACCUACCGAAGACUAUCAAACUCCGAAUGCCGUCAUCUUAUACUUGGGAGUCAGACUGUGGGUGAUAAGAUUCAUAGUCGAAAGGGCAACAGCCCAGAUCGUCAGCUAAGGUCCCUAAAUGUAAGUUAAGUGGUAAAGGAUGUGGGAUUGCACAGACAACCAGGAUGUUGGCUUAGAAGCAGCCACUCAUUCAAAGAGUGCGUAAUAGCUCACUGGUCGAGUGAUCCUGCGCCGAAGAUUUCCGGGGCUAAAACUUACUACCGAAGCUACGGCAUCAGUAAUGAUGGGUAGGGGAGCUUCCCAUACGG